This 253-nucleotide ribosomal RNA is filed under the name uncultured bacterium. RNAcentral describes it as "partial 16S ribosomal RNA". It matches the Rfam family "Bacterial small subunit ribosomal RNA", at positions 524 to 776 of the family's 1533-position model. The record is from RNAcentral.
GACGGAGGAUGCAAGUGUUAUCCGGAAUCACUGGGCGUAAAGCGUCUGUAGGUGGUUUAAUAAGUCAACUGUUAAAUCUUGAGGCUCAACCUCAAAAUCGCAGUCGAAACUAUUAGGCUAGAGUAUAGUAGGGGUGAAGGGAAUUUCCAGUGGAGCGGUGAAAUGCGUAGAGAUUGGAAAGAACACCGAUGGCGAAGGCACUUUACUGGGCUAUUACUAACACUCAGAGACGAAAGCUAGGGUAGCAAAUGGG